UAAUUUUGAUUCUUUAAUUAUAUAUAAAGAUAUGAAAGUAUAAAAAAACAAUUUAUACUGGCAAGUUAAAUUAAAAAUAGGAAUUUAUAUUUAUUUUUAGAAUUUAAAAUUAUAUUUUAAAAUUUAAAAAUAAAUUUAAAUCUGAGUUGAACUUACAAUUAAAAUAUAAGACACAAAUUAAAUUUACAAUUUGAAUUUCAAUUUUAACUUAUAACUCAUAAUUGAAAUUAAAUUUUAAAAUAAAAAUAAACACAAAAAUUAGAAUAUUAUUCAAAUUUGAAUUCAUAAUUUGAAUUUAUAAUUUGAAUCAUAUUUUAAUUUACUCUUUGUGUCACGUCUCGGAUUUCACGUUCCCCGGGUACGCCGACAAAUUCGCCGUAUAUAAAGAAAUUUUUUCCUGUAUACGAAGCGAUAGCUGUACCUGUAAAACAUACAAUACUACAAAUAGUAGUAUAGAGCUGCUAGAAGAACCAGUAACUAAAAACAAACUGAGUUCCAUAUGCAUACAUCAAAUCCAAGAUACAAAACUACUCGCACUGGCGAGUUAAAUAACUGUAUGUACAUGAACUCCAACAAAAAACAACUAUCUGCUGUAGGGCACCUCUAGCUCGGCUCGUCGGGUAGGGCUCUAACUCGCAACGCCCUUGCCUCGAUCCUGAUCAGCAACAGCAGCAGCCGAAGACGAUGGCUCUGCAAAAACGGGGUAACAACAGGGCGUGAGAACUACUGUAAAAACAAGUAGUCCUCAGUGGGUGCCGCCCUUAACAUCAUCGGUCCACCCACUAAGUCUACAGAAGGGAGCAAAGGUAGUAAUAAAUGCUGGAAUAAAAUCUACAGCUACCAUUUAUUACACUAUCAUGCUAUAAGCUGACCUACUGUAAUAAUGUGAAUCCCGACCCAAUCUCUUUAGGGACUGUAAACAUACUAUCCCAGGGACUGUGAACACACCCGUCCCGCCCAGUUGAGACUAUCCAGCUACCUCCACACUAUCCAGUCCGUGGAGAGCAAGUCUAACCGGCAUGCACGUCACCAACGCAAAAGCACAGCGCCCGUCUCCGGAGUGGCACUCGUGGGAGCUACCCAACCGAGUAUGCAGCGUAUCUCUGUCGAGCUCAAACAGGCUCUCUAACUCAAGCCGAAGUCCAGUAACAACUCUGACUAGUCUAAAUACAACAAACAACGUGCCCUCGGUACAAUCCGACGCCAAAAAGGCGAUAUGGGUCCACCGUCAACCCCGACGGCACCCAACAGUCCGGAACAGCCUAAACGCUACUGUAAAAAUACACUCGGCAUUCCAGCACGAGCGUAACUGAAAGCUAAACUACCUCAGAUAUCCGUCGCCUCGAUACUGCGAUGAUACAGAUUUAUAACGGCUCCUAGAGCUAAAUCAGGUAGUGUGAACAGGUGACAGGUCCAACUCACUGGUUUUCUCCUAAGUCAAUU
This 1443-nucleotide long non-coding RNA is filed under the name Ananas comosus (pineapple). RNAcentral's name for it is "long non-coding RNA (ACOM_LNC017808)". Lineage: Eukaryota; Viridiplantae; Streptophyta; Magnoliopsida; Poales; Bromeliaceae. The record is from RNAcentral.